AGAAUGAGGUUCCCUGAUUGAUUGGUCACACACACACACAAAAUACCACUGGGUGAGACCUUGAUGACCAACCACCUCUGGUGUAGAAGGUCCUCUGCAGGAAAACCAUUAAGGAAGGAGAUGGGACAAACGAUAUGUCCCGCAGUGGGCGGUUAAGCAUGCAAGUGGACAAGGGCAUGUAGUUAGACCUGGAUUCAAAUACUGACCCUGCCCUUCCCUCUCCCAGCUGUCCAUGCUUGGACACUCUCUAAACCGUCCACAUUGGAAAAAGACAACGUUUCUGGUACUCACCUUGCCAGGUGGCCAUGAGAAUCAUGUGAUAUCACCUGUAAACACUGCCUAGCAAUGUGCCUGGCAUGUCGUGGGCUCUGUGUAAAAAACCAGCCUCUCCUACCCUAUUUCCCUUUCCUCUGUGUCCCACCCUCUCCAAUACAGAUGAAAUACAGU
Molecule: long non-coding RNA, 447 nt
Filed under: Bos taurus (domestic cattle)
Lineage: Eukaryota; Metazoa; Chordata; Mammalia; Artiodactyla; Bovidae
Description: long non-coding RNA NONBTAT005895
Source: RNAcentral